AACAAACGCUGGCGGCGUGCCUAAUACAUGCAAGUCAAACGGGUAGCAAUACUAGUGGCGCACGGGUGAGGAAUACAUGGGUAAUCUGCCCUCGAGUUGGGGAUAACCAGUCGAAAGAUUGGCUAAUACCGGAUAAGACCACAAGAUCUGCGGAUCAAGGGUUAAAGGUUUUUCGCUUGAGGAUGAGCCCAUGUGGGAUUAGCUAGUUGGUGAGGUAAUGGCUCACCAAGGCGACGAUCCCUAACUGGUCUUAGAGGAUGAUCAGUCACACUGGAACUGAGACACGGUCCAGACUCCUACGGGAGGCAGCAGUAGGGAAUAUUGCACAAUGGGGAAACCCUGAUGCAGCGACGCCGCGUGAGUGAUGAAGGCCUUCGGGUCGUAAAGCUCUGUCGUAUGGGAAUAACACAAUGAAUGUACCAUGCAAGAAAGGAUCGGACUAACUUCGUGCCAGCAGCCGCGGUAAU
Molecule: ribosomal RNA, 467 nt
Filed under: uncultured bacterium
Lineage: Bacteria
Description: bacterial SSU rRNA
Rfam family: Bacterial small subunit ribosomal RNA
Source: RNAcentral